Erinaceus europaeus (western European hedgehog) is the source of this 193-nucleotide non-coding RNA. The record is from Rfam. Lineage: Eukaryota; Metazoa; Chordata; Mammalia; Eulipotyphla; Erinaceidae.
UUUCUCUGCUCGGCGUCGUCGGGGUCGCCUUCCUGGAGCACUUGGAUCAUUGAUCCCGCCGAAAUCUCUGGGCCAAGGAGCGAGCCUCCCCGGGGACUGAGAGGGAAGGAAGGGCUGCGGCUGGAAGUUGGGGGAGGAGUUGACAAACCUUCGGCGAAAAUGGGGAACGUUGCUCUGCGCCUGAGUGCGGCCC